AUCAGAUUUUCUUUAUCUUUGCUUUAAUUUUAUUUAACCAGAAGUUUAGUGAAUAUUAUAAGACUUACUGAACAAAGGUUUGAUAAAAGUUGAAAAUCAAACACUUCAAUAUUGUAGGAACUAUCAUUACCCUUUGAACAUGAAUGUGUAUAUGUCUGCGUAUGUGCGAAUACAUAUGUAAAUACUUAUGCAAACUAGCUCACUAGAAAUUGAGAUCUAAAUAAUUAGGAAUUUUUCUUUGAAAGUUUUAAGUUUGGCUACAAACAUAUAAAAUAUUCAACAGUCCACAGUCAAGGACAAUGAUUCUCCGACUUUGAAAUUGUGAUUAUUAAACAUUUCAGAAUAUGUUUAAUAAAAUACUUUUUUUCUAUUUUAAAAAUAAUUUAUUUCAGGUUGUAUAUUGUUUUGUGGAACACCAUAUUUUAAAUGAACUUCUAAUUUUGAACAUUUUGUACGCUCUUAGUUAAGGUUACAGAGAUUCACACUUAAGAAACACUGAUCUAAAUAUUCAAAUACUUAAGUGUUAAGGUAUAACACUUAAAUAAUAUCAAGAAAUAUAUUGUAUGUUCUCAAAUAGGGAAGAUACCUACCAUGUGCCAAGUGGUAUGAAAAGUAUAUGAAAUUAUUUAAAUCAAUAUUGAAUGUGAUCACCUUAUGAAGUCAGCACCAUGUUAAUUUUAGAGAUGUUAGAAUCCAAAAGCUCAAAGAGGUUAACUUACCCUAUAGCAUAGACCAGAGAUAAAUAUCAGUCCUUAUUAUGGGACUCAAAAGUCUAUGAAAAAUGACAGAACAUACAAACUAAUUAAUCACUAUUUAUCCAGCACAUCUCAAAUAUAAAGAGAAUCAUUUGGAUGCAGCCUAGUUUUUUUUUUUUUAAUGCAUAUCUGUUUUGGUAGAUAUAAGAAAUAUAUAAUAAAGUUGAGUUCUCAAUUAGUAGUGAUAUAUCUUUAUGUUACCCAAAC
This 962-nucleotide long non-coding RNA is filed under the name Marmota monax (woodchuck). The record is from RNAcentral. Lineage: Eukaryota; Metazoa; Chordata; Mammalia; Rodentia; Sciuridae.